This 479-nucleotide ribosomal RNA is filed under the name uncultured bacterium. RNAcentral's name for it is "bacterial SSU rRNA". It matches the Rfam family "Bacterial small subunit ribosomal RNA", at positions 335 to 800 of the family's 1533-position model. The record is from RNAcentral.
ACUCCUACGGGAGGCAGCAGUGGGGAAUAUUGCACAAUGGGCGCAAGCCUGAUGCAGCCAUGCCGCGUGUAUGAAGAAGGCCUUCGGGUUGUAAAUUUACUUUUCAGCAGUGAGGAAGGUGGGUAUGUUAAUAGCAUACUCAUUUGACGUUAGCUGCAGAAAGAAGCACCGGCUAACUCCGUGCCAGCAGCCGCGGUAAUACGGAGGGUGCGAGCGUUAAUCGGAAUUACUGGGCGUAAAGCGCAUGCAGGUGGUUUGUUAAGUCAGAUGUGAAAGCCCGGGGCUCAACCUCGGAAUUGCAUUUGAAACUGGCAAAACUAGAGUACUGUAGAGGGGGGUAGAAUUUCAGGUGUAGCGGUGAAAUGCGUAGAGAUCUGAAGGAAUACCGGUGGCGAAGGCGGCCCCCUGGACAGAUACUGACACUCAGAUGCGAAAGCGUGGGAGGACAAACAGGAUUAGAUACCCUGGUAGGUCGAUGU